GUCCUAGCCGUAAACGAUGGGCACUUGGUGUUGGGGGUAUUGAGUCCCCUAGUGCCGGAGUUAACACGUUAAGUGCCCCGCCUGGGGAGUACGGUCGCAAGACUGAAACUCAAAGGAAUUGACGGGGCCCGCACAAGCGGUGGAGCAUGUGGUUCAAUUCGACGCAACGCGAAGAACCUUACCGGGGCUCGAACGGCAACUGCUACCCUUGGAAACAGGGGAUUCUCUUCGGAGACGGUUGUCGAGGUGCUGCAUGGCUGUCGU
Molecule: ribosomal RNA, 264 nt
Filed under: uncultured bacterium
Lineage: Bacteria
Description: partial 16S ribosomal RNA
Rfam family: Bacterial small subunit ribosomal RNA
Source: RNAcentral